UCUCAAAGAUUAAGCCAUGCAUGUCUAAGUACGAACUAAGUGAUGGUGAAACUGCAAAUGGCUCAAUACAACGGUUAUGAUGCGCCCGGGAGUUCCGAUGGAUAUUUCCAGUAACACUAGAGCUAAUACAUGUAACUGCGUUUAUUAGUUUCCAACAGUCUGUCGCUGAGUCAUGGUAAACGGUUGAUCGACUCGACGUCCCGGAACAGUUUCCGCCCCAUCAGCUUCGAUGGUUGGGUAUUGGCCUACCAUUGCAACAACGGGUGACGAGGAAUUAGGGUUUGAUUUCGGAGAGGGAGCCUGAGAAACGGCUACCACAUCUACGGAUGGCAGCAGGCGCGCAAAUUACCCAAUGCAGACACUGUGAGGUAGUGACGAGAAAUAAUAAAGCGGGGCUUCUGUCUUGCUAUUAUAAUGAGGAAUAACCAAAGGCCAUUCCUAUUAGCAACUGAUGGGAAAGUCUGGUGCCAGCAGCCGCGGAGACCCACACAGAAAUGAAAGUGUAUGGGUUCUGGGGGUAGUAUGGACACAAGUCUGGAACUUGAAGGAAUUGACGGAAGAGCACCAUAAGACGUGGAGCUUGCGGCUUAAUUUGACUCAACGCGGGAAAACUUACCAGGUCAAGACAUGGGCGUGAUUGACAGGCUGAUGACCUUUCUCGAUUCCUUGGAUGGUGGUGCAUGGUCGCACUUAGUUGGUGCAGUGAUUUGUCAGGUUUAUUCCGGUAACGAACGAGACCUCGGCCUUGUAACUAGUUUACUGCUUACAGGGACAAUGUCGGCUACGUCAAGGAAGUUCGAGGCAAUUGCAGAUCUGGAAUGCCCUUAGAUGUCCUGGGUCGCACGCGUGCUACAAUGACGCCACGAGCGAGUGUGCGUGACGGAACUCACGUGAAAUCAGCAAUCGGCGUCUUCAGGGACAGUCUCUUGUAACUGUGGGACUCGAACUAGGAAUGUCUCGUAAGCACAAGUCAACAUCUUGUGUUGAUUACGUCCCUGCUCUUUGUACACACCGCCCGUCGCUCCUACCGAUCGAGUGUUUAGAUGAAUUUGACGGACUAGCGGAAGUCAAAUGAAUCUGAUCACUUAGAGGAAGGAGAAGUCGUAACAAGGUUUCCGUAGGUGAACCUGCAGAAGGAU
RNAcentral lists this ribosomal RNA (1139 nucleotides) under uncultured marine eukaryote. RNAcentral's name for it is "partial 18S ribosomal RNA". It matches the Rfam family "Eukaryotic small subunit ribosomal RNA". The record is from RNAcentral.